AAUUAAUUGUAAACAUAAUUUGUGGAAUUUAAUUUAUUUUAAUUACAAAUAAUGAUUGUUACUCUUAAUGUUUCUAUGUUUUUUAAUCUAGUGACUCGUAAUCGAAAAGUUAAUUGAAUUCAUGUUGAAUAAUCUAAACGUCUAAAUGGUUGAUUGGUUUUGUUGUUGUUGUUGUUGGAUUAAUCUUAUUGACUAUUGGUUAAAUUGGUAAUGCUUUUUGGUUGUAUUGAAGAUUAUGAUGAUUGACAUUAUCCAGUAGUAGAUAUCCGAUUUGAUCAUGUUCAUCUUUGUAUCACAUUUGUAUAAAUACAUUUACAUGUAUCUUGUUUUUCUUGGUAUCUCAUAGUUAAUGGAUUAAGCUGGUUGGUUGUGGUUGACUGACUGGUUGAUUAACAUACUUACCAAUAUGAUUUACAAUUCAAGUCACAAUCUCAUCUUAAUUGGAAAUCGCUAAUUGUGGCAUAUUUACUGUUAAUCGUAUUUAGAUAAGAGAUGGCAAACAAAAGACUUGAGGUGAUUAAAUGAUUCAAUUGACUUACAAGAAGCUGGUCAUUCAUAAUCAGAUUGUCACCGAGAAAACAAUUAACUAUUCCAAGAGGAUUCCAAUAUAAUCUCAAACAAAUCUGUUAAUAAUAUUCAUCAUUUUCAGCAAUUCACCGGAGUCAAUCAAUCAAUCGUAUCUUCAUCUUUCAAUAUGUUAAAAGGUUAACCAAUAUUUUUGUUUAUUUACUUGAAAUAUUUAAGAUUUUCAAUUAAUUUACAGGGUAUUAUUAUCUGCAUAACCACUUGAUUAUACCCACUGUUUAAUUGAUUAAUUGUCAACAGUAAUGGAUAAAAAAAACUGGUGAUUAAAUUCAAUUGCAAUAUCAUUGAAUAACUUUUUGAUGGUAGUGAGAUUGAUUGAUUGGAAAUCGUUGCGAUUCAAGAUGUUGACCAUUGAUACUCAUCAAAGGCUAUUGGAUUACGUUGAUGUGAUUACUCUUGGUCAUUGGACAAUAAUAAGACCAUAUCCAUUGUCACCUUAGUGAGAAGGUUGAUUU
This is a long non-coding RNA of Panonychus citri (citrus red mite), 1040 nucleotides long. RefSeq lists it as uncharacterized. The record is from RefSeq and is a predicted model, not a curated record. Lineage: Eukaryota; Metazoa; Arthropoda; Arachnida; Trombidiformes; Tetranychidae. The transcript is spliced from 3 exons.